This is a long non-coding RNA of Suricata suricatta (meerkat), 840 nucleotides long. RefSeq lists it as uncharacterized. The transcript has 4 exons. The record is from RefSeq and is a predicted model, not a curated record. Lineage: Eukaryota; Metazoa; Chordata; Mammalia; Carnivora; Herpestidae.
GGAAGAGACUGGCCAGUUAUUCACCAAUUCAUCUGCCUUUCUCUCCUGGCCACAGGGCUAAGACACAUUAUCCAAACUAUUCUUUCAGUUAGGUUGUCAUAUGGCCAAGUUCAGGCAAAAGGACAUGGAAGGAAGAUAUGGGCAUUACCUGUGGUUGAAGCUCACAAGCUGUUCCCCAUAAUCACCGAUGCAAGGAUUUUAUUCCUCGAUACGAUGGUUGGCUUCAGAGACUCUGAUGUACUAAGCACUGUGCACCAGAUACUGUGUCAGGCAUCAGAAAUCCAACUAUGAUGGCAUUCGGGAAACAGACAGUGACUGCAGCCAAGAGCAUGAGGUAAAAUGAUGGUAUCUAGACAGUAAGUUCCAGGCCUCAGUUCACAGAGAAGAAAAGCACAGAGUACCAACUUUUCCUAUACUGGCUGAUGGUGUGCUGUAGGAUGAGAACACAUUCUCCUCCUGGCAUGACCUGUGGGAGACUCCUGGCUGUACAAGCAGUUGAUUCAACCGCUGGCUGGCAGGUGCAUAACCGCGGGUGGUGGAAGUAACAGUUAAUUACUCUCCAUCCGGUAAAAUCUCUAGGAGACUUUUUUUCUCUCAAAAGAAAAUUUUGAUUUGCAUAAAAACAAUUAGAUGCUCUAUAACCUAUAAAAAGACUAAACAGGACAAGAAGAAUACUGAGAAGAAAAUUUUGUUUAACCUAAGAAUAUUUCAGUAAAUUCCAGGGGAAGGAGAAUUUGAAUGCUGGUUGAUUAUCUACAGCAAGGACAGACCAGCAAAACCCAACUCCAUAUUAGAAGGUAAACUCUCCCUGCCAGGGGUUUUGCUUCCUUCACCACUGAA